UCUUCUAGCUUGCUAGAAGUGGAUUAGUGGCGCACGGGUGAGUAAUGCAUAGGUUAUGUGCCCUUUAGUCUGGGAUAGCCACUGGAAACGGUGAUUAAUACUGGAUACUCCCUACGGGGGAAAGUUUUUCGCUAAAGGAUCAGCCUAUGUCCUAUCAGCUUGUUGGUGAGGUAAUGGCUCACCAAGGCUAUGACGGGUAUCCGGCCUGAGAGGGUGAUCGGACACACUGGAACUGAGACACGGUCCAGACUCCAACGGGAGGCAGCAGUAGGGAAUAUUGCUCAAUGGGGGAAACCCUGAAGCAGCAACGCCGCGUGGAGGAUGAAGGUUUUAGGAUUGUAAACUCCUUUUGUUAGAGAAGAUUAUGACGGUAUCUAACGAAUAAGCACCGGCUAACUCCGUGCCAGCAGCCGCGGUAAUACGGAGGGUGCAAGCGUUACUCGGAAUCACUGGGCGUAAAGAGUGCGUAGGCGGGGUAAUAAGUCAGAUGUGAAAUCCUGUAGCUUAACUACAGAACUGCAUUUGAAACUGUUACUCUGGAGUGUGGGAGAGGUAGGUGGAAUUCUUGGUGUAGGGGUAAAAUCCGUAGAGAUCAAGAGGAAUACUCAUUGCGAAGGCGACCUGCUGGAACAUUACUGACGCUGAUGCACGAAAGCGUGGGGAGCAAACAGGAUUAGAUACCCUGGUAGUCCACGCCCUAAACGAUGGAUGCUAGUUGUUGCCUUGCUUGUCAGGGCAGUAAUGCAGCUAACGCAUUAAGCAUCCCGCCUGGGGAGUACGGUCGCAAGAUUAAAACUCAAAGGAAUAGACGGGGACCCGCACAAGCGGUGGAGCAUGUGGUUUAAUUCGAAGAUACGCGAAGAACCUUACCUAGGCUUGACAUUG
This 885-nucleotide ribosomal RNA is filed under the name uncultured bacterium. Its description in RNAcentral is "bacterial SSU rRNA". It matches the Rfam family "Bacterial small subunit ribosomal RNA", at positions 71 to 989 of the family's 1533-position model. The record is from RNAcentral.